RNAcentral lists this ribosomal RNA (729 nucleotides) under uncultured Bacteroidales bacterium. RNAcentral's name for it is "bacterial SSU rRNA". It matches the Rfam family "Bacterial small subunit ribosomal RNA", at positions 55 to 771 of the family's 1533-position model. Lineage: Bacteria; Pseudomonadati; Bacteroidota; Bacteroidia; Bacteroidales. The record is from RNAcentral.
AUGCAAGUCGAGGGGCAGCAUUUUAGUUUGCUUGCAAACUGAAGAUGGCGACCCGGCGCACGGGUGAGUAACACGUAUCCAACCUGCCGAUAACUCCGGAAUAGCCUUUCGAAAGAAAGAUUAAUACCGGAUAGCAUACGAAUAUCGCAUGAUAUUUUUAUUAAAGAAUUUCGGUUAUCGAUGGGGAUGCGUUCCAUUAGUUUGUUGGCGGGGUAACGGCCCACCAAGACUACGAUGGAUAGGGGUUCUGAGAGGAAGGUCCCCCACAUUGGAACUGAGACACGGUCCAAACUCCUACGGGAGGCAGCAGUGAGGAAUAUUGGUCAAUGGGCGAGAGCCUGAACCAGCCAAGUAGCGUGAAGGAUGAAGGCUCUAUGGGUCGUAAACUUCUUUUAUAUGGGAAUAAAGUUUUCCACGUGUGGAAUUUUGUAUGUACCAUAUGAAUAAGGAUCGGCUAACUCCGUGCCAGCAGCCGCGGUAAUACGGAGGAUCCGAGCGUUAUCCGGGUUUAUUGGGUUUAAAGGGAGCGUAGGUGGAUUGUUAAGUCAGUUGUGAAAGUUUGCGGCUCAACCGUAAAAUUGCAGUUGAAACUGGCAGUCUUGAGUACAGUAGAGGUGGGCGGAAUUCGUGGUGUAGCGGUGAAAUGCUUAGAUAUCACGAAGAACUCCGAUUGCGAAGGCAGCUCACUAGACUGUUACUGACACUGAUGCUCGAAAGUGUGGGUAUCAA